Molecule: long non-coding RNA, 768 nt
Organism: Ornithodoros turicata
Lineage: Eukaryota; Metazoa; Arthropoda; Arachnida; Ixodida; Argasidae
Exons: 4
Source: RefSeq, a predicted model, not a curated record
GCUUGUGUGAUAACGCUAUAUGAUAGUGUUUAAUGACUCUAAUGCCAUCACCUGCAGGUGACAUUCAGCCUACAUGCACCCUAGCGCGUCCUUGCCCUGUCCAAAGUCUCCCAUGUCCUGUAGAGCAGGGAGCAUUAGCGUUACCACCCCACAAUGCUGUCCCCCACAUGGCGCUUGGAGUGUGCACUCCUGCAGCGGAUACUGAAGCCUUGGUGGUGACGUUGAGGUGGCUGAGAUCCAUGAGGAAUCCUUAAAUGACUCUGUUGCGGGCAGUCUGGCGUCAGCGUCAUUUCUGUCUAACGAUGGAGCACCUCACAUGGAAGGCACAACAUCUGAGAGUGUCUCUGUCUCCCCAGAGAGCGCCACGGUAGCGGAGCAACAGCGCAAGCUGCCGUUGGCUUACAAGAAAAUUGCGAAGUUGGAGAAUGAGCUAGCAGCUCAUUUAGGACUCCUUAUAUCAUAAUAGUGAAAUAUGUUCAGGCAGUUUUGAUGACUAUUGAUGCUUUCGGUAAUAGGUGACCCACGCACAAGGCUGGCGGAUGACCAGCUGACCUCGAUCAAGAAUGGGGACAUGAGAGAAAACAGACGGAGCGCUGGUACGCUCGAGAUGAGCCUGAAAAUUCGUCUUGCCUGUGGUAGACGAGGAUACUCGUAUGUCAGGGACAACCAUCUUCCUCUUCCAUGCGAACGGACCCUACAGCGGAAAAUUGAGGAUAUCAAGUUCAAGCCAGUAUCAGUGGACGUGAAAGACUAGGCGAGGAGUCACGG